This 209-nucleotide ribosomal RNA is filed under the name uncultured bacterium. Its description in RNAcentral is "partial 16S ribosomal RNA". It matches the Rfam family "Bacterial small subunit ribosomal RNA", at positions 524 to 732 of the family's 1533-position model. The record is from RNAcentral.
UACGUAGGGCGCGAGCGUUGUCCGGAAUUAUUGGGCGUAAAGAGCUCGUAGGCGGCCUGUUGCGUCCGCUGUGAAAUCCCGGGGCUUAACCCCGGGCGUGCAGUGGAUACGGGCUGGCUGGAGGCAGGCAGGGGAGAACGGAAUUCCCGGUGUAGCGGUGAAAUGCGCAGAUAUCGGGAGGAACACCGGUGGCGAAGGCGGUUCUCUGG